RNAcentral lists this ribosomal RNA (213 nucleotides) under Triticum aestivum (bread wheat). RNAcentral describes it as "partial small subunit ribosomal RNA". Lineage: Eukaryota; Viridiplantae; Streptophyta; Magnoliopsida; Poales; Poaceae. The record is from RNAcentral.
ACCCUGCAAUCAAAUAGAUUGUCCCAAGGGCGCCAUAUUCUAGGAGCCCAAGUUAUGCUAUUGAAAAUCCGUUCCUCUAGCAGUUCCGGUUUGAGCAUUCCGUUCCCUUUUUCAAACUCCACUUCUUUUAGGUAUUCCUCCUUUAGAUAUGAGAGAACAAUAUCCAUUUCAAAACAUUUCUGACGGAUUCCUUAGUUCGGACCGAUGAAGUAA